This 2246-nucleotide ribosomal RNA is filed under the name Salmonella enterica. RNAcentral describes it as "bacterial LSU rRNA". It matches the Rfam family "Bacterial large subunit ribosomal RNA", at positions 593 to 2823 of the family's 2925-position model. Lineage: Bacteria; Pseudomonadati; Pseudomonadota; Gammaproteobacteria; Enterobacterales; Enterobacteriaceae. The record is from RNAcentral.
GUGACUGCGUACCUUUUGUAUAAUGGGUCAGCGACUUAUAUUCUGUAGCAAGGUUAACCGAAUAGGGGAGCCGGAGGGAAACCGAGUCUUAACCGGGCGUUAAGUUGCAGGGUAUAGACCCGAAACCCGGUGAUCUAGCCAUGGGCAGGUUGAAGGUUGGGUAACACUAACUGGAGGACCGAACCGACUAAUGUUGAAAAAUUAGCGGAUGACCUGUGGCUGGGGGUGAAAGGCCAAUCAAACCGGGAGAUAGCUGGUUCUCCCCGAAAGCUAUUUAGGUAGCGCCUCGUGAAUUCAUCUCCGGGGGUAGAGCACUGUUUCGGCUAGGGGGCCAUCCCGGCUUACCAACCCGAUGCAAACUGCGAAUACCGGAGAAUGUUAUCACGGGAGACACACGGCGGGUGCUAACGUCCGUCGUGAAGAGGGAAACAACCCAGACCGCCAGCUAAGGUCCCAAAGUCAUGGUUAAGUGGGAAACGAUGUGGGAAGGCCCAGACAGCCAGGAUGUUGGCUUAGAAGCAGCCAUCAUUUAAAGAAAGCGUAAUAGCUCACUGGUCGAGUCGGCCUGCGCGGAAGAUGUAACGGGGCUAAACCAUGCACCGAAGCUGCGGCAGCGACACUGUGUGUUGUUGGGUAGGGGAGCGUUCUGUAAGCCUGCGAAGGUGGCCUGUGAGGGUUGCUGGAGGUAUCAGAAGUGCGAAUGCUGACAUAAGUAACGAUAAAGCGGGUGAAAAGCCCGCUCGCCGGAAGACCAAGGGUUCCUGUCCAACGUUAAUCGGGGCAGGGUGAGUCGACCCCUAAGGCGAGGCCGAAAGGCGUAGUCGAUGGGAAACGGGUUAAUAUUCCCGUACUUGGUGUUACUGCGAAGGGGGGACGGAGAAGGCUAUGUUGGCCGGGCGACGGUUGUCCCGGUUUAAGCGUGUAGGUGUGUGUUCCAGGUAAAUCCGGUUCACUUUAACACUGAGGCGUGACGACGAGGCACUACGGUGCUGAAGCAACAAAUGCCCUGCUUCCAGGAAAAGCCUCUAAGCAUCAGGUAACAUCAAAUCGUACCCCAAACCGACACAGGUGGUCAGGUAGAGAAUACCAAGGCGCUUGAGAGAACUCGGGUGAAGGAACUAGGCAAAAUGGUGCCGUAACUUCGGGAGAAGGCACGCUGACACGUAGGUGAAGUGAUUUACUCAUGGAGCUGAAGUCAGUCGAAGAUACCAGCUGGCUGCAACUGUUUAUUAAAAACACAGCACUGUGCAAACACGAAAGUGGACGUAUACGGUGUGACGCCUGCCCGGUGCCGGAAGGUUAAUUGAUGGGGUCAGCGCAAGCGAAGCUCCUGAUCGAAGCCCCGGUAAACGGCGGCCGUAACUAUAACGGUCCUAAGGUAGCGAAAUUCCUUGUCGGGUAAGUUCCGACCUGCACGAAUGGCGUAAUGAUGGCCAGGCUGUCUCCACCCGAGACUCAGUGAAAUUGAACUCGCUGUGAAGAUGCAGUGUACCCGCGGCAAGACGGAAAGACCCCGUGAACCUUUACUAUAGCUUGACACUGAACAUUGAGCCUUGAUGUGUAGGAUAGGUGGGAGGCUUUGAAGUGUGGACGCCAGUCUGCAUGGAGCCGACCUUGAAAUACCACCCUUUAAUGUUUGAUGUUCUAACGUGGACCCGUUACCCGGGUUGCGGACAGUGUCUGGUGGGUAGUUUGACUGGGGCGGUCUCCUCCUAAAGAGUAACGGAGGAGCACGAAGGUUGGCUAAUCCUGGUCGGACAUCAGGAGGUUAGUGCAAUGGCAUAAGCCAGCUUGACUGCGAGCGUGACGGCGCGAGCAGGUGCGAAAGCAGGUCAUAGUGAUCCGGUGGUUCUGAAUGGAAGGGCCAUCGCUCAACGGAUAAAAGGUACUCCGGGGAUAACAGGCUGAUACCGCCCAAGAGUUCAUAUCGACGGCGGUGUUUGGCACCUCGAUGUCGGCUCAUCACAUCCUGGGGCUGAAGUAGGUCCCAAGGGUAUGGCUGUUCGCCAUUUAAAGUGGUACGCGAGCUGGGUUUAGAACGUCGUGAGACAGUUCGGUCCCUAUCUGCCGUGGGCGCUGGAGAACUGAGGGGGGCUGCUCCUAGUACGAGAGGACCGGAGUGGACGCAUCACUGGUGUUCGGGUUGUCAUGCCAAUGGCACUGCCCGGUAGCUAAAUGCGGAAGAGAUAAGUGCUGAAAGCAUCUAAGCACGAAACUUGCCCCGAGAUGAGUUCUCCCUGAGACUU